UAGGGAAUCUUCCACAAUGGGCGCAAGCCUGAUGGAGCAACACCGCGUGAGUGAAGAAGGGUUUCGGCUCGUAAAGCUCUGUUGUUAAGAAGAACACGUAUGAGAGUAACUGUUCUAUACGUUGACGGUAUUUAACCAGAAAGUCACGGCUAACUACGUGCCAG
RNAcentral lists this ribosomal RNA (164 nucleotides) under uncultured bacterium. Its description in RNAcentral is "partial 16S rRNA". It matches the Rfam family "Bacterial small subunit ribosomal RNA", at positions 355 to 511 of the family's 1533-position model. The record is from RNAcentral.